Molecule: long non-coding RNA, 5752 nt
Filed under: Zea mays
Lineage: Eukaryota; Viridiplantae; Streptophyta; Magnoliopsida; Poales; Poaceae
Description: long non-coding RNA (ZMAY_LNC005226)
Source: RNAcentral
UGAAGGCAUGAGUUGAGACAUUGCAGUAGCAAUUUUAAUUAAUAAAAAUGUUGGCAAUUUGCAUUUGGUCAAAUCCAUCCAGAUACAACAGGAUGCAGUGAAGCGCAUGAGCACAAGUCUAACACGGGAUGCAAUGCAAGCAAAGGGCGUAAUAGUAGUCGCGGCCUCUAGGGUGGCAGCGGGUUAUUAUUCUUGGCAGCGAACGCGGUGACGAACUGGCAGCGCAGCGUUUGUUGUCGUCAUCAUCUUUCCUCGUCGCCGGUCUCAGAACUCGACGCCCUUGAAGACCUUGCGCACCUGCUCGAGCGUGACGAAGAGCACAACGGUGAAGGGCCCCUGGCGCAUCACGGUGGGGAUGAACCCCUUGUACAGCGCCAUGGGUCCCUCCGACCUGACGGUCUUGAGGGCGCAGUCGACGGCGCCGGCGUAGGGCGGGGGCGCGCCGGGCGCCACCUUCAUGUUCAUCAUCCUCGUCUUGACGACGUCGACGGGGUUGGACGCGGCGGCGGCGACGAUGCCGGCGGUGAAGCUGGCGGCCACGUGCGUGGCGAGGCCGUCGGCGCCCGGGCCGCGGCGCGCCAGGAUGGCCUCCUUGGCCUGGUCGUACGUGGCCAGCUGCGACGCCGUGACGAUCAUGGCGCGGUUGACGGUGAGCGAGGACCCGCGCCAGAGGCUGCGCACGCCCUCGUCGCGCGCCAUCCGGCCGAUGGCGUCGCCGACGCCGCGGUAGUUCCGGCGCUCCGCGAGGGGCAGGCGCCCGUCCGCCUGCAUCCGCACCAUGGCCACGUCGGCCGGGUUGCCCACGGCGGCGCCGACGCCGCCGGCGACGAGGCCGGCCAAGAUCUUGCGGUGCAGCGGGAGGACGCCGCCGUUCUCCCGGGCCCACCUGGUCUUGAGGAUGUCGUACAGCCCCAUCCGCGUGGUGGAGUAGAGCGUCUGCCGCAGCAUGGUGGCGGACACCCCCGAGAAGAGGCCCGCGGCGCCCUCGGACCGCAGGAUCUGCGCGCCGACGGCCAGCGGCCCGGGCUUCCGCGGCGGCGCCGGGAUGUCGUGGUGGUGCGGGAGCGCGACGGCGUGGCCCCCGGCGUGGAAGGCGAGCGCCGGGCGCAGCGCCGGCUGCGGCGCCACGGCGGCCGCCGCCUCCCCCUGCAGCUGCAUGCGGACCUUGAUGAGGUCCAGCGGGUGGGUGGAGCAGCCGGCCACGAUGGAGGCGAUGCCGCCCUCGACGAAUCCCUUGACACCCAUCGCUUGCUUGCCCGGUUUCUUCUCUCCUUUUGGGUUUCAGGAGUUAGGGAGAGACGGAUCCGAGAGCAAAGAUGCCAACAAAACUAAAAACGGAAGCUGAGAGCCAGCUCGAUCAAACGGAAACGAAAUCCAGACGGGAGGAAAGGAAGAAGAAGAAGAAAAAAAGGAAGGCGGAGAAUAGCUAUUGCUGCCAAUAGGAGCUGGGGCACAUCUCACUGGAGACCAGGAGAUGGGAAUGGAGCGCGAAGGCUAUGCAGGAGGAGUGUGGGACGCUGGCCCUCUGUGACAUAUGCUGGUCGUGCUUCCUACUUCCUCGGCGUCGGAUGUGUGGGUGGGGGAAGAAGGCGGCAGGGAGGGGACGCAAUUUAUAGCUGGGUGGCGCGGUGCGGGAAGGGCCAGGGAAGGAGACGAACAGGGGGAGGCUCCGCGGUUGGGGUUCCGCUUCCACGGCCUCGCGCUCGCGGUCGGACUGGGGAAGGCAGAUUCGCAGUCGCGGCGCGGCGCGGGCGGGUGGGAGAGGAAGGCGACCUGGCCGCCCGAGCUGUGAUUGCUUUCUGGGAUCGCUUCGCCUUAACGCGGAGUUGGGGGGGAGAAGGGGCCUGGCCUGGCCGCCCGCGUCAUCGGUGCGGUGGGUUGGGUGGCCCGCGGCCGACUGCCUACGGCUUCCGUCCUUCCGCGCGUCGUGCGGCGGCGCGGGCAUAUAGGAGAGCUGGCGGGCAGCGGGCUGGCUGGUGGCCGUCCGCGAGCGGCUGUGCCCUGAUCUGGACCGUCUGUUUGGGCCUGGCCUUGGUGGGCCCCAUCCACAAUUAGGGUUUGGAAACGAACGGCGGCGGGAUUUGCUGGAGUUUUUUUUCUAUUCGUUUUGGUAGGGUGGGGCCGUGGGGACUGGGGGUGCCCGAAGGACGAAGCGAAGGCAACGGGCAACGGCACGCGCCGAGGGACGCAGGGAGCGCAGGCUCACGUCUCACCACCCCUUUUUUCACGCAAAAGGGACGACGAGGCUGGCUGCCUAGCACGCACAGGACAGGAACGUGCUCGCCAACAAAACAAAACAUAUACAGGAGGGAAGACACACCGGAGGCGUUGGAAUUGGGGAAGUGCUUUUCUGCGGCGGGGGUGUGAGGUGGGCCACGCGCGCGCUAGACCUUGGCGCGUAGCCAAGGAAAGGAAUUGUAACAGACGGGAUGCAGCGUCCUAUCAGGGUCGUGUGUAUUACGUGUGUACAUGGGUGGCUCGUUCCAACACAGUGUACAGUCCAGCCAGGCACGCAGCAGCAGCAGCCAGCAGGCAGCAGUACCGCGCUAUUGCUUUCGCACCGGCCUGAUCGGCGCCAAGUUGUUGUUUGUUGCCGUGCGGCACGCAGCCGCCACAUGCCAGGCCUCAGCGGCGGGCCGGUCGCCUGGCCAUUUCCGCUCGCCCACCGUCCAGACGGAGCCAGAGCCACCACUCGAACGGGCGGGGGAGCGGCCAAGGUCUCAUCCCGCCCGGCCUUGGCCUGGCGGCUCGCCGCAUCCGCCUGCCUGGGAGCGGUUCCCACGGCCCCACCACCUCCACUCUUCCGGACGUCUGUCUGUUUGGUGUUUGCGCGCGGGGGGGUCCUGGCCGGCGUUUCGCGGUCGCGCCACGGGUCCUAGGCUGGUGGUGGGACUGGGAGUGCCACACUGGUGGACUAGUAGUAGAAGCCUAGAAGGAGCGCGUGGGCGCACGGUCCAGCCUCCAGUACAGCCGUUCCAGAGACGCGGGGGGAGCGCUAGGUCGCAGCUGGUGCGGGCUGGAACACCAAUUCUCCGUAACGCGUCAACACGUCUGACCCUGCGAGCAGCGUGCAUUAAACCUGUGCUCCAUCAAGUCCACCAACCUGUGUGCCUUUCGCUAGCGUAGCUAGUAGUACGUACGUAUACGUACUGGUGCUGAGCUGAGCCCUGGCCCCUGGACUUGUCCUGCGCCUCCUGCGUUGGUAACCAGAAAGAGGGCUGAGCCAGCCGUGGUUGCCUUUUGUUUGGGACUGGGACGCUAGUGUUUAUAGGGGGCUACCGGGCAACUGGAUCGGGAGGACGAUGAAGAGCCCCAGGCAGGCAGCAACGCAGCGAGGCUAAUGGUACGUGCUCCGUUUGGUCUUUUUUUUCCUUGUCUACUGCACUAGCCCCGUGAUGCGAUGAAAGUAGUGGGCUAGGAGGGGCAAGAGCAUAGUACAAUUACUCGUGCCAGUUGGUACGAAAGGCACUGGUGCCCUUCCAAAAAAGUGUUGGAUCUGUUCGGUUCAUGUCUACAAGACUACAUUACUGUUUGGUUUCUUCUCACACCCAUAUUCUCGUCACAUAAUCUCUAUGAUAUUUAGAUUCUCAGAAAAAAGUUGAACUAAACAGACUCUUAACUACGUGUCCCAUGUCAUAUGUUCAUUUUGGUGUUAAACUUUACUCCCUAGAACCAAACAUGAACACACAUUUUGUAGAUACCGUAUUUAGUCACACUUAUUUGGGAUGGCCUUUUGUUUGAUAGUUUUUAUUCAGUAUAGAGAUUUUACAGCACAAAUAGAAUUGUUGUAACUAUAUUUACAUUCAAAAGGUUUACUUGUCCCAUAUUAGUAUAUGAAAUAACAAUCGUGAGCCAAAGUCUUAUCUUAACAAUACAAAAUGUGUCUUCUUCUUUUUUUUUUACAGGGCGGUUGCUAAAAUAAAUGGGGCCUUUGAUGUUUACACUAAAACAAUGUCAAAUGUUUCGAGGCUGAAAUAUCCGAAGAAAUUAAGGUAGCGUGUUUGGUUUCGGUGUCCUCGAGAGCCGCUUCGUUCGAGAAAUUUUGAGAAGCUAAAUAGUUAAACAUUUUAGAGUAACUCCGAAAAAUUAGCUAAAAAGACUAGUCAAAUUUACUGAUUUAGCUACUCUCUAAAAUAGAUUUUAGAGAAAAAUAUAGGCUAAUCCAACAGACUCGGUAAACCUAUGGAUUGAAUAGAGAGUGAAGUAGGUUAUCCAAAAUUAGAGAGCGACGAUGGAGAAAUAGAGAGCCGCUAAAUUUGAAGAGUCGUUUACAGAAUCUAUUGGAUACAAUUUUCUUUUAAUAUUAGCUAAAUUUACCUUUACAAAACCAUAUAUCUAAUCUCUUGAAGUUGCUCUUAGCAUAUUUUAUUUUAUUUUUAGAACAACACUGUUUUAUAUAGAAUCAAUCUAAACAAUAAUAAAUUUGAAGCAGAGCGGCUCUAUUCCAACGUAUUUUGAAACCAAACCCUGAAACGUUAUCUAAGGGUUUGGUUCGGUUCUACCCCAAUCUAUAUGGACCGAGGAGGUUUUAAUCCCUAGUAAGUCAAAAUCCCCUUCAAUCCGUAUCAAUCCCCUCCAAUCUAUAUGGAUUGAAAAUAACCGAAAAGCUCUAAAAGAGUGGUGUAAGACAGGAAAGUUGUUGGUAGGUACCGCUAGAAUGAUAUUGGGCAAUGACAACGGGACGGUGGCAUGUGCGGUGGCACGAGAAAUCACGAGAUCAUAAAUAUGGACACUUUGCUAGUAUACUUUUUAUGGUGCUGAGUACUAAUUAAGCCCGUGGAAAGGAGGCGUUCCACUCAGCUGAGAUAUGCAUACAGCAAAUAUUCCAAGCCCGAAAGUUCUGAAGAAAUUUAAAAGGUGGUUUGAAGUGGUUUAAGCCAGGAAAGUCACAGGUGACCACUCUGUAGCCGAUUUGUUGACGGUUUCAGAAACGAGAUAAUAUAUGUACAUUUACCUAACACGUGGUAACAAGUGACGUGAGAAGGACGUGCGACUCGCGAGCAAGACACAUUCAACAGUGGCUCGUCAAGACGUGAGUAGAGCAGCCCUGGUUGGCUCGGCUGGUUGCUGGCCGUGCAGUUCAUCUACUGCUUGUUUUCUGAAGAGCCGUUUGCAGCAAAGUCAGCUCUUGAGCUAAUUUAUUAACUCCUGCUCCGUUGAAUAACUGGAAGUCAGCUUGGGUGUCCUGCGCGAGCACUACGGAGUACGGAGGCGCCAUGCCGGCGCGGCGAGCGAUUUCUUCGCUUCGUUCGUUGCACUGGCAAUUUGGCAAGGCGCGCAAGGACUAGAGAGGUGGCUCUAACCUGUCCAUGCGAGCAGUGCGGACCUUUCCCGAUGUCCCGUACUCCCGUCGUAAAGCAAGCACGGCCACAGUACUGUACUGGAUACGUUUUCCAGUGAAUACGUACGCGUACUUUUAAAAAUUUAGACAAUUUCAGUAGUAGUUUAAUCUAGAAAUUGUUAGUCAACAAAUAUAUGACGUCGGAUAUAUGUACAUGUGCUCUAAACGUGAUGAACAUAUAUAGAAUAAUAACUAACAUAAUUUUUAUUAUAAACAGUGUAGUAGAUAGGUAGCCAUGUUAACCAUUACCAUGAAAGAGAGGACGAAGUGAGCAAUAGUGUCACUUACAUAUACUCUAAAAAAAACAUGAUUGCCAGCCCUCACCCUAAACUCUCGGACGACACUCAUUUUGGAGGCUUGCUAUUCUAAUACUUGUGCGCAUAAAAAUUGGAAUGGAGAGAACUUGACCAA